This 192-nucleotide small nuclear RNA is filed under the name Sugiyamaella lignohabitans. RNAcentral describes it as "Candida lignohabitans U2 spliceosomal RNA". It matches the Rfam family "U2 spliceosomal RNA". From Rfam's summary of the family: U2 is a small nuclear RNA (snRNA) component of the spliceosome (involved in pre-mRNA splicing). Complementary binding between U2 snRNA (in an area lying towards the 5' end but 3' to hairpin I) and the branchpoint sequence (BPS) of the intron results the bulging out of an unpaired adenosine, on the BPS, which initiates a nucleophilic attack at the intronic 5' splice site, thus starting the first of two transesterification reactions that mediate splicing. Lineage: Eukaryota; Fungi; Ascomycota; Dipodascomycetes; Dipodascales; Trichomonascaceae. The record is from Rfam by way of RNAcentral.
AUCUCUUUGCCUUUUGGCUUAGAUCAAGUGUAGUAUCUGUUCUUUUCAGUGUAACAACUGAAACGACACCAUUGGUGUCUUCUAAUUUGUUACUCUUAUUUUUGACUCUCGCCACCAGCUCCCUGGGCUUGCCUAUAGCUGGUAGCACAGUGUCGUUGCUAUUGCACUGCCGGCAACUGACGCAGACCCUCU